GACGAACGCUGGCGGCGUGCUUAACACAUGCAAGUCGAGCGGAAAGGCCCUUCGGGGUACUCGAGCGGCGAACGGGUGAGUAACACGUGAGUAACCUGCCCCAGACUUUGGGAUAACCCUCGGAAACGGGGGCUAAUACCGGAUACGACACAGCUUCGCAUGGGGUCUGUGUGGAAAGUUUUUCGGUUUGGGAUGGGCUCGCGGCCUAUCAGCUUGUUGGUGGGGUGAUGGCCUACCAAGGCGACGACGGGUAGCCGGCCUGAGAGGGCGACCGGCCACACUGGGACUGAGACACGGCCCAGACUCCUACGGGAGGCAGCAGUGGGGAAUAUUGCACAAUGGGCUGAAGCCUGAUGCAGCGACGCCGCGUGAGGGAUGACGGCCUUCGGGUUGUAAACCUCUUUCAGCAGGGACGAAGCGUAAGUGACGGUACCUGCAGAAGAAGCUCCGGCCAACUACGUG
Molecule: ribosomal RNA, 462 nt
Filed under: uncultured bacterium
Lineage: Bacteria
Description: partial 16S ribosomal RNA
Rfam family: Bacterial small subunit ribosomal RNA
Source: RNAcentral